RNAcentral lists this ribosomal RNA (462 nucleotides) under Falculea palliata. Its description in RNAcentral is "partial 16S ribosomal RNA". It matches the Rfam family "Bacterial large subunit ribosomal RNA", at positions 1970 to 2594 of the family's 2925-position model. The record is from RNAcentral. Lineage: Eukaryota; Metazoa; Chordata; Aves; Passeriformes; Vangidae.
UGCCUCGUAAAUUGAGGCCUGUAUGAAUGGCUAAACGAGGUCUUAACUGUCUCUUGCAGGCGAUCGGUGAAAUUGAUCUCCCUGUGCAAAAGCAGGGAUAAACCCAUAAGACGAGAAGACCCUGUGGAACUUCAAAAUCAGCAACCACCCUUCAACACAUCCACACCCACUGGGUUCACGAACCUACAAGGCGCUGGUCUGCAUUUUUUGGUUGGGGCGACCUUGGAGAAAAACAGAUCCUCCAAAAAUUAGACCAUACCUCUAGACUGAGAGCGACCCCUCAACGUGCUAAUAGCACCCAGACCCAAUAUAAUUGAUCAAUGGACCAAGCUACCCCAGGGAUAACAGCGCAAUCUCCUCCGAGAGUCCGUAUCGACGAGGAGGUUUACGACCUCGAUGUUGGAUCAGGACAUCCUAGUGGUGCAGCCGCUACUAAGGGUUCGUUUGUUCAACGAUUAAAGU